CACAGCAUCGCUUUCUCCUGCCUGGGUGAGCUCCAGAGCUGCACUGCUCAACAUCAGAGCAGCAGCAAGAGAUGGAUGCAGCCCUCCCGCAUCCCAGAGCGUCGCUGCGGGGCUGGCACCCGGAAAGGCAGCAAGAAGACCCCCAAAGAGCUCGCCCCUGUCCUCCCUGCUCCCACCCCCCAGCCAAUGAAGCUCUUAUGCUGAUGGCUCCAAGAUCCUUCCCAAUGUCCCAAACCCAGGUACCAAACUUCUUCCUUCCUCUGCAUCCUUCCUGCAACCCCACAACGCUCCCCUUAAGCCUUUCUUCUUCUCAUAAAGUCACCCCCACGUCCCUGCUCUGUCCCCUGUUCCAUGUCCCCCCUCCUCAGCCCAGCCCUAGGUGUUUUUUGCAGCAGAUGGUUCAUUGUUGUUCCCUCUCAGCCCCUCUCCUAUCCCUGCCCCGGUGUCGAGUGCCAACAGAUGGGUGAUGCUAAGAACUAACAUGUGCUUUUAAUAAAUUGCUUCGUUUUAAAGCAGAGGGGUGAGGAGAGACAGUGGCUGGUUCUUCUUGGGUCCCCUCUGUGGGGGAGCAGGGCUUGGGGCCUGGGAAAGGCUCUUACUCCUGGGGGUGAGCUCCAUCAUCCUGGGCUUCCUGCGGGUGCCUUCUGCCCCCUUUUCUGUGCUGGGGUGGUCCAGGCUGCUCGUGCCGUGCCCUGGAGAGCAGGCCCAGCUCCUGCUGCUUUGUAUGUUUCUGCGCUGUUCCCCCCUGUGCUAAACCCCUGCUGCUGCCACCCCUGUCUCUGUGUCCCCCCACUCCAGCUGCCUGCAGCCCCCCCAUCCUGGGGCAGGGAGCUCUGAGCAUCCCUACCCUGGGACCACACUUGUCCCUCACCACCCCCUGACCCCCUUUCCUGCCUUGCCAGGGCCCAGCUGGGCACUGCCACAUCCUGCUGCCUGCACCAGCUCCUCCGAGCCACCCUCAAAGGUGACCAGGGGUGGUGGGAGCAGGAUGGAUGGUGGCCAUGGCUCCGGGUGUGCUGCAGUCCUGUGGGGAACCGGGCUCACCGGCUCCUCCUGCCCUACUUUCCUGCCUGGCAGCGGCACAUUCGCCUUUGUCUUCUCAGAGCCUGGAAGCUUCU
Molecule: long non-coding RNA, 1118 nt
Filed under: Strigops habroptila (Kakapo)
Lineage: Eukaryota; Metazoa; Chordata; Aves; Psittaciformes; Psittacidae
Description: lncRNA (ENSSHBG00005012411.1)
Source: RNAcentral